UGGGCAAUGAGGGACUCGAACCCCCGACAUCCACCGUGUAAAGGUGGCGCUCUAACCAACUGAGCUAAUUGCCC
This 74-nucleotide transfer RNA is filed under the name Bifidobacterium longum. RNAcentral describes it as "tRNA-Val". The record is from RNAcentral. Lineage: Bacteria; Bacillati; Actinomycetota; Actinomycetes; Bifidobacteriales; Bifidobacteriaceae.